RNAcentral lists this ribosomal RNA (793 nucleotides) under uncultured bacterium. Its description in RNAcentral is "bacterial SSU rRNA". It matches the Rfam family "Bacterial small subunit ribosomal RNA", at positions 8 to 796 of the family's 1533-position model. The record is from RNAcentral.
AGAGUUUGAUCCUGGCUCAGGAUGAACGCUAGCGGCAGGCUUAAUACAUGCAAGUCGAGGGGCAGCAUGGUUGUAGCAAUACAACUGAUGGCGACCGGCAAACGGGUGCGGAACACGUACGCAAUCUACCCAAAACUGGUGAAUAGCCCUCCGAAAGGAGGAUUAAUACACCGUAACUUAAGGAAGUGGCAUCACUGUCUUAAUAUAGCUCCGGCGGUUUUGGAUGAGCGUGCGCCUGAUUAGGUAGUUGGCGGGGUAACGGCCCACCAAGCCUGCGAUCAGUAACUGGUGUGAGAGCACGACCAGUCACACGGGCACUGAGACACGGGCCCGACUCCUACGGGAGGCAGCAGUAAGGAAUAUUGGUCAAUGGACGCAAGUCUGAACCAGCCAUGCCGCGUGAAGGAUGAAGGUCCUCUGGAUUGUAAACUUCUUUUAUGUGGGACGAAACCUCUUAUUCUUAAGAGACUGACGGUACCAUAGGAAUAAGCACCGGCUAACUCCGUGCCAGCAGCCGCGGUAAUACGGAGGGUGCAAGCGUUAUCCGGAUUCACUGGGUUUAAAGGGAGCGUAGGAGGGCAGGUAAGUCAGUGGUGAAAUCUUCGAGCUUAACUCGGAACUGCCGUUGAUACUAUCUGUCUUGAAUACCGUGGAGAUGAGCGGAAUAUCAUGUAGCGGUGAAAUGCUUAGAUAUGACAUAGAACACCAAUUGCGAAGGCAGCUCGUUACACGAAUAUUGACUCUGAGGCUCGAAAGCGUGGGGAUCAAACAGGAUUAGAUACCCUAGUAGUCC